This 454-nucleotide ribosomal RNA is filed under the name uncultured bacterium. Its description in RNAcentral is "bacterial SSU rRNA". It matches the Rfam family "Bacterial small subunit ribosomal RNA", at positions 28 to 507 of the family's 1533-position model. The record is from RNAcentral.
GACGAACGCUGGCGGCGUGCCUAACACAUGCAAGUCGGACGGAUCAGGUAUGACAGCUUGCUGUAGUGCCUGGUUAGUGGCGGACGGGUGAGUAACGCGUGAGGACCUACCCUGGAGAGGGGGAUAACGGCUGGAAACGGCUGCUAAUACCCCGUAAGCCUGAGGGUGAAAGGGAGCGAUCUGCUCCGGGGCGGCCUUGCGUCCUAUCAGCUAGUUGGUGGGGUAAUGGCCUACCAAGGCGAAGACGGGUAGCCGGCCUGAGAGGGCGACCGGCCACACUGGAACUGAGACACGGUCCAGACUCCUACGGGAGGCAGCAGUGGGGAAUAUUGGGCAAUGGGGGCAACCCUGACCCAGCGACGCCGCGUGAGGGACGAAGUCCUUCGGGAUGUAAACUCUGUUGUGGGGAAGAAGUCAGUGACGGUACCUCACGAGGAAGCCCGGCAACUACGUG